Long non-coding RNA from Thunnus maccoyii (southern bluefin tuna), 280 nucleotides. RefSeq lists it as uncharacterized. The transcript has 3 exons. The record is from RefSeq and is a predicted model, not a curated record. Lineage: Eukaryota; Metazoa; Chordata; Actinopteri; Scombriformes; Scombridae.
CAGGGUCUGAGCCCACGCCAGAGAUGAGGUCAGAGCAGCCUGCUGGACACAAACACUGACACACAGCCACAUGUAUGUGUGCCAUGAAACCCAGCAGAUUACCGUCACCUGUGGUUCCGCUGCCUGAAAGCGCAGCCUGUCAGCCACCAAUUACAGCUCCCCGGCUGCCCAUAAACCUCCCAGCAUGAAAGGAAAGGUGUGCCGGCUACCCUGGCGACUGUGGAGCCUGCAGAAACAUGGCUACCAGAGGAAACAUAGCGGUGCAGCAAACACAUCAAUC